This 253-nucleotide ribosomal RNA is filed under the name uncultured bacterium. RNAcentral's name for it is "partial 16S ribosomal RNA". It matches the Rfam family "Bacterial small subunit ribosomal RNA", at positions 524 to 776 of the family's 1533-position model. The record is from RNAcentral.
CACGUAGGGCGCAAGCGUUGUCCGGAGUUACUGGGCGUAAAGGGCAUGCAGGCGGUCGGACGCGUUUCGGGUGACAGCGGGUGGCUUAACUACCCGAGUGGUCGAAAGACGGUUUGACUUGAGGACGCGAGAGGGACACGGAAUUCCGGGUGGAGUGGUGAAAUGCGUAGAGAUCCGGAGGAACACCGAAGGCGAAGGCAGUGUCCUGGCGCGUAACUGACGCUGAGGUGCGAAAGCCAGGGGAGCGAACGGG